This is a non-coding RNA of Pseudoalteromonas phenolica, 45 nucleotides long. The record is from Rfam. NCBI's taxonomy places the organism in Bacteria, Pseudomonadati, Pseudomonadota, Gammaproteobacteria, Alteromonadales, Pseudoalteromonadaceae.
AAAAUGGCGCUAUUAAGCGCCAUUUUCAUUCUACUUAUCAGUAAA